GACGAACGCUGGCGGCGUGCUUAACACAUGCAAGUCGAACGGAAAGGCCUUUUCGGCGGUACUCGAGUGGCGAACGGGUGAGUAACACGUGGGUGAUCUGCCCUGCACUCUGGGAUAAGCCUGGGAAACUGGGUCUAAUACCGGAUAGGACCGCACUUUAGUGUGUGUGGUGGAAAGUUUUUUCGGUGUAGGAUGAGCCCGCGGCCUAUCAGCUUGUUGGUGGGGUAAUGGCCUACCAAGGCGGCGACGGGUAGCCGGACUGAGAGGUUGGUCGGCCACAUUGGGACUGAGAUACGGCCCAGACUCCUACGGGAGGCAGCAGUGGGGAAUAUUGCACAAUGGGCGCAAGCCUGAUGCAGCGACGCCGCGGGGGGGAUGACGGCCUUCGGGUUGUAAACUCCUUUCGCCAGGGACGAAGCGUUUUGUGACGGUACCUGGAGAAGAAGCACCGGCUAACUACGUG
Molecule: ribosomal RNA, 463 nt
Filed under: uncultured bacterium
Lineage: Bacteria
Description: partial 16S ribosomal RNA
Rfam family: Bacterial small subunit ribosomal RNA
Source: RNAcentral